This 749-nucleotide ribosomal RNA is filed under the name uncultured Glomerales. RNAcentral's name for it is "LSU rRNA". It matches the Rfam family "Eukaryotic large subunit ribosomal RNA", at positions 38 to 633 of the family's 3401-position model. The record is from RNAcentral. Lineage: Eukaryota; Fungi; Glomeromycota; Glomeromycetes; Glomerales; Glomeraceae.
GCAUAUCAAUAAGCGGAGGAAAAGAAAAUAACAAUGAUUCCCUUAGUAACGGCGAGUGAAGGGGGAUAAGCUCAAAUUUUAAAUCUGCUAGGCCUUACCUAUCAGAGUUGUAUUUUGAAGAAGCGUUUUCCGCGUCUCGGUUGACCCAAAUCCUUUUGGGAUAAGGUAUCAUGGAGGGUGAGAAUCCCGUUCGGUUGACCUUAUGACGCUUUACUAUACGUUUUCAAAGAGUCGAGUUGUUUGGGAUUGCAGCUCAAAAUGGGAGGUAAAUUUCUCCUAAGGCUAAAUAUUGGCGAGAGACCGAUAGCGAACAAGUACCGUGAGGGAAAGAUGAAAAGAACUUUGAAAAGAGAGUAAAAUAGUACGUGAAAUUGUUGAAAGGGAAACGAUUGAAGUCAGUCGUACCGACGGAAAAUCAGCUCUUUGAGUGCGGACUUGUGGGCUUACGUGAGUUUUAACACCUCGCUGUUUGCAACGUUCGUGUUUUUUGGGUGUACUUUUUCGUAUGGUUGGCCAAUAUCAGUUUUGAUCGCUAUAAAAUGACCGGCGGAAUGUAGCUUCGAUCUCGUAUUGAAGUGUUAUAGCCUCUGGUAGAUGUGGUGAUCGGGACUGAGGAUUGCAACGAAUACCUUUUGGGCUAUCCGUCUGAUCUCUGAAGGUUGCUUAGGUGCCGAAAGCGUGCUUACGGUUAUUUAAGUUGACAGUCAAAAGGUUAGAACGUGAUUAUAUUCGUUAAGGAUGUUGACGUA